This 90-nucleotide transfer RNA is filed under the name Microbacterium dextranolyticum. Its description in RNAcentral is "tRNA-Ser". Lineage: Bacteria; Bacillati; Actinomycetota; Actinomycetes; Micrococcales; Microbacteriaceae. The record is from RNAcentral.
GCGUCGCGGAUCGGCGGGGAUGACCGCCCGCUGCUGGCCGGCGAGGAUCCCGUCGAACGGUGGACGCGGAUCUACGCCGCGCGGCGCCCC